Molecule: ribosomal RNA, 492 nt
Filed under: uncultured bacterium
Lineage: Bacteria
Description: partial 16S ribosomal RNA
Rfam family: Bacterial small subunit ribosomal RNA
Source: RNAcentral
AGUGAACGCUGGCGGUAGGCCUAACACAUGCAAGUCGAACGGCAGCACAGUAAGAGCUUGCUCUUACGGGUGGCGAGUGGCGGACGGGUGAAGAAUACAUCGGAAUCUACUUUUUCGUGGGGGAUAACGUAGGGAAACUUACGCUAAUACCGCAUACGACCUACGGGUGAAAGCAGGGGAUCUUCGGACCUUGCGCGAUUGAAUGAGCCGAUGUCGGAUUAGCUAGUUGGCGGGGUAAAGGCCCACCAAGGCGACGAUCCGUAGCUGGUCUGAGAGGAUGAUCAGCCACACUGGAACUGAGACACGGUCCAGACUCCUACGGGAGGCAGCAGUGGGGAAUAUUGGACAAUGGGCGCAAGCCUGAUCCAGCCAUACCGCGUGGGUGAAGAAGGCCUUCGGGUUGUAAAGCCCUUUUGUUGGGAAAGAAAAGCAGCAGGUUAAUACCCCGCUGUUCUGACGGUACCCAAAGAAUAAGCGCCGGCUAACUUCGUG